UGUCAUCUUGAAGGUACAUGAGAAGCUGAAGGCAAUAAUAUCAAUCUCAACUCUACAGCUGCUGAGCCAUGAAGCCAUUUGGAGAUGAACAAAAGUGCAACACCUGAGUUAUUUGAAAUUCAGCAGCACGCCAUUGAUCAGCCAUGAACCAGAGCCUGUCAUGUCACGUCAAGUGAGGUAAGAGCUGUGUGGGCUGAAUAGGUGGGGAGGGACUUUUAAGCUCCGGAAGGAGUGCCUUUAAAUAUUUUCUUUGCCUGUGAA
Molecule: non-coding RNA, 261 nt
Organism: Paramormyrops kingsleyae
Lineage: Eukaryota; Metazoa; Chordata; Actinopteri; Osteoglossiformes; Mormyridae
Source: RefSeq, a predicted model, not a curated record